This 301-nucleotide ribosomal RNA is filed under the name uncultured bacterium. RNAcentral's name for it is "partial 16S ribosomal RNA". It matches the Rfam family "Bacterial small subunit ribosomal RNA", at positions 509 to 808 of the family's 1533-position model. The record is from RNAcentral.
CAGUCGCCGCGGUAAUACGGAGGGUGCAAGCGUUAAUCGGAAUUACUGGGCGUAAAGCGCACGCAGGCGGUCUGACAAGUCAGAUGUGAAAUCCCCGGGCUUAACCUGGGAACUGCAUUUGAAACUGUCAGGCUGGAGUCUUGUAGAGGGGGGUGGAAUUCCAGGUGUAGCGGUGAAAUGCGUAGAGAUCUGGAGGAAUACCGGUGGCGAAGGCGGCCCCCUGGACAAAGACUGACGCUCAGGUGCGAAAGCGUGGGGAGCAAACAGGAUUAGAACCCCUGUAGUCCCUGUCUCUUAUACA